This 497-nucleotide ribosomal RNA is filed under the name uncultured bacterium. RNAcentral's name for it is "partial 16S ribosomal RNA". It matches the Rfam family "Bacterial small subunit ribosomal RNA", at positions 28 to 507 of the family's 1533-position model. The record is from RNAcentral.
GAUGAACGCUGGCGGCGUGCCUAAUACAUGCAAGUCGAGCGAACAGAUGAGGAGCUUGCUCCUCUGACGUUAGCGGCGGACGGGUGAGUAACACGUGGAUAACCUACCUAUAAGACUGGGAUAACUUCGGGAAACCGGAGCUAAUACCGGAUAAUAUAUUGAACCGCAUGGUUCAAUAGUGAAAGACGGUUUUGCUGUCACUUAUAGAUGGAUCCGCGCCGCAUUAGCUAGUUGGUAAGGUAACGGCUUACCAAGGCAACGAUGCGUAGCCGACCUGAGAGGGUGAUCGGCCACACUGGAACUGGGACACGGUCCAGACUCCUACGGGAGGCAGCAGUAGGGAAUCUUCCGCAAUGGGCGAAAGCCUGACGGAGCAACGCCGCGUGAGUGAUGAAGGUCUUCGGAUCGUAAAACUCUGUUAUUAGGGAAGAACAAAUGUGUAAGUAACUAUGCACGUCUUGGCGGUACCUAAUCAGAAAGCCACGGCUAACUACGUG